UACGUAGGGCGCAAGCGUUAUCCGGAAUUAUUGGGCGUAAAGAGCUCGUAGGCGGUUUGUCGCGUCUGCUGUGAAAGACCGGGGCUCAACUCCGGUUCUGCAGUGGGUACGGGCAGACUAGAGUGAUGUAGGGGAGACUGGAAUUCCUGGUGUAGCGGUGAAAUGCGCAGAUAUCAGGAGGAACAUCGAUGGCGAAGGCAGGUCUCUGGGCAUUAACUGACGCUGAGGAGCGAAAGCAUGGGGAGCGAACAGG
RNAcentral lists this ribosomal RNA (253 nucleotides) under uncultured bacterium. RNAcentral describes it as "partial 16S ribosomal RNA". It matches the Rfam family "Bacterial small subunit ribosomal RNA", at positions 524 to 776 of the family's 1533-position model. The record is from RNAcentral.